GAUGAACGCUGGCGGUAUGUUUAAGGCAUGCAAGUCUAACGGUAAAUUUAUUUACCGUGGCAAACGGGAGAGUAACACAUUGGUAACUUACCCUUAACUCAAGUAUAACCCAGUGAAAAUUGGGACAAUCCUUGAUAGUCCAUAGUUUAUACGCAAGAUUAAAUUAUGGUAAAGAUUUAUCGGUUAAGGAUAGGCCUAUGGCUUAUCAGCUUGUUGGUGAGGUAAUGGCUCACCAAGGCUAUGACGAGUAACGGGCGUGAGAGCGUGACCCGUCCCACUGGAACUGAGACACUGUCCAGACUCCUACGGGAGGCUGCAGUCAAGAAUCUUUCGCAAUGGCCGAAAGGCUGACGGAGCAAUACCGCGUGAAGGAUUAAGCCCUUCGGGUGUAACGUUCUUU
RNAcentral lists this ribosomal RNA (400 nucleotides) under uncultured bacterium. RNAcentral's name for it is "bacterial SSU rRNA". It matches the Rfam family "Bacterial small subunit ribosomal RNA", at positions 28 to 436 of the family's 1533-position model. The record is from RNAcentral.